Long non-coding RNA from Drosophila yakuba, 401 nucleotides. RefSeq lists it as uncharacterized. Lineage: Eukaryota; Metazoa; Arthropoda; Insecta; Diptera; Drosophilidae. The transcript has 2 exons. The record is from RefSeq and is a predicted model, not a curated record.
UCGUAAAAUUCAAUAAUUGUGGCAACUUAUUCGAUGAGACGUACGGUGUUUCCUAUUAAAGGUGAAUUCUAUGCAGUUGACUGCAGUCUUAAAAUUCAGUCUCCAAAAUGAACAGGUGGUUUGUCGUGACUUUCUUACUGACCAUCGGUCUACUAUCCGUUCUUUCUAUGGAUGACAAAGUGAUUGGCGAUAGAGAACUGAUCGAUAUAAGAUGAUGACGAACGUGAGCUCGCCUACAAACUUAUAGAUUGUCUAAGGGAAAACUUAAAAGCUUAUGCAUUUUUACAGUUUAUCCAUGCAUUAUGACUUAUAAAAUGUUUUCUCAAUUCUCAAAAAUAAAAUAUUAAAAACGUAUGACUUUUGAAUGUUGUUAAAACAUCUUGAGCUUAAACGAGAAAAUA